GGGAGAAAGGAUUGCUUUUGCUUUUUCCCAUUUGUUUCUUGGAAGAAAGUCUGUGGGUGGAGUUGGGAAAAGAAAAUAAAUUCUAAGUUAAUUUGGCGUUUGAGUUGCUCAUGAUACUAGUAUCAACAAUUGAUGGGUGGAUUUGAUGAUCAUGUUGCCAUUAUGGGAGAUUGGAUGCCUCCAAGUCCAAGUCCAAGAACGUUUUUCUCUUCACUGCUAGGCGAUGAUGGUGGGUCAAGAUUAUCGUUUGAUGGCACCAAUGAAACUAGUGGAAACUUAGCUUCUGGUCCUCAAGAACAUGUUGGCAAUUCAGAUGGAGUUGAUACAGCACCAGCUGCAAUCAGUGAGCCACAACCGGUGAAGUUGAGUGUGCCGUCUGACCAGAAAAUGAACUCUCGCGGAGGAGGACUCUUGGAAAGAAUAGCAGCUAGAGCAGGAUUUAAUGCCCCAAAGCUGAACACGGAGAGCCUUAGACCUGCUGAUCUGAGGCAGAAUCAAGGAGUUCGCUCUCCUUAUUUAACUAUUCCUCCUGGUCUUAGUCCAACAACCCUGCUAGAGUCUCCUGUUUUUCUCUCCAAUUCACUGGUGCAACCAUCCCCAACAACUGGAAAAUUUCUAUUUUCCUCAGGCAUUGACAAUAGAAACUCGGCAUUGAUGAUGGAGGAUACAGAUAAAAGGAAAGAUAAUGCUUUAGAGAGUAUCAAUUCAUCAUCCUUUUCUUUCAAGCCAGUUCCAGAGACUGCUCCAUCUCUUUUUCCUGGCACGACCAGCAGAGUGAACCCGUCCAAUUUUUCUCAGCAAGGAUUUCCAAACAUUGAAGUUUCGGUUCAUUCCCAGAAUUCGCUUGUAUCUCACCGUGUGGAAGCUACACAAAACCCGACUCAGAAUGGAACGCUUCAGCAAUCAUCUGAUUUCCCUAGAUUUUCUGCUGAGAAGGAUGUCAUGGCUAAUAAUGUUACCCUAGAUUCUAGGACUUUUCAGACAGUUGGUAGUGCUGUGGACCAUUCUCCACCUCUCGAUGAACCGCAAGAUGAGGACAUUGAUCAAAGAGGAGGUGGAGAUCCAAAUGUUGCUGGUGCCCCAG
This 1084-nucleotide unclassified non-coding RNA is filed under the name Hevea brasiliensis (rubber tree). Lineage: Eukaryota; Viridiplantae; Streptophyta; Magnoliopsida; Malpighiales; Euphorbiaceae. The record is from RNAcentral.